Molecule: ribosomal RNA, 482 nt
Filed under: uncultured bacterium
Lineage: Bacteria
Description: partial 16S ribosomal RNA
Rfam family: Bacterial small subunit ribosomal RNA
Source: RNAcentral
AUUGAACGCUGGCGGCAUGCUUUACACAUGCAAGUCGAACGGUAACAGGCCGCAAGGUGCUGACGAGUGGCGAACGGGUGAGUAAUGCAUCGGAACGUGCCCAGUCGUGGGGGAUAACUACUCGAAAGAGUAGCUAAUACCGCAUACGAUCUAUGGAUGAAAGCGGGGGACCGUAAGGCCUCGCGCGAUUGGAGCGGCCGAUGUCAGAUUAGGUAGUUGGUGGGGUAAAGGCUCACCAAGCCAACGAUCUGUAGCUGGUCUGAGAGGACGACCAGCCACACUGGGACUGAGACACGGCCCAGACUCCUACGGGAGGCAGCAGUGGGGAAUUUUGGACAAUGGGCGCAAGCCUGAUCCAGCAAUGCCGCGUGCAGGGAGAAGGCCUUCGGGUUGUAAACUGCUUUUGUACGGAACGAAACGGCUCUGGUUAAUACCCGGGGCUAAUGACGGUACCGUAAGAAUAAGCACCGGCUAACUACGUG